UACGAAGGGGGCCAGCGUUGCUCGGAAUCACUGGGCGUAAAGCGCACGUAGGCGGAUUGUUAAGUCAGGGGUGAAAUCCUGGAGCUCAACUCCAGAACUGCCUUUGAUACUGAAGAUCUUGAGUUCGGGAGAGGUGAGUGGAACUGCGAGUGUAGAGGUGAAAUUCGUAGAUAUUCGCAAGAACACCAGUGGCGAAGGCGGCUCACUGGCCCGAUACUGACGCUGAGGCACGAAAGCGUGGGGAGCAAACAGG
RNAcentral lists this ribosomal RNA (253 nucleotides) under uncultured bacterium. RNAcentral describes it as "partial 16S ribosomal RNA". It matches the Rfam family "Bacterial small subunit ribosomal RNA", at positions 524 to 776 of the family's 1533-position model. The record is from RNAcentral.